This 497-nucleotide ribosomal RNA is filed under the name uncultured bacterium. Its description in RNAcentral is "partial 16S ribosomal RNA". It matches the Rfam family "Bacterial small subunit ribosomal RNA", at positions 28 to 507 of the family's 1533-position model. The record is from RNAcentral.
GACGAACGCUGGCGGCGUGCCUAAUACAUGCAAGUUGAGCGCUGAAGGUUGGUACUUGUACCAACUGGAUGAGCAGCGAACGGGUGAGUAACGCGUGGGGAAUCUGCCUUUGAGCGGGGGACAACAUUUGGAAACGAAUGCUAAUACCGCAUAAAAACUUUAAACACAAGUUUUAAGUUUGAAAGAUGCAAUUGCAUCACUCAAAGAUGAUCCCGCGUUGUAUUAGCUAGUUGGUGAGGUAAAGGCUCACCAAGGCGAUGAUACAUAGCCGACCUGAGAGGGGGAUCGGCCAAAAUGGGAAUGAGACAAGGCCCAAACUACUACGGGAGGCAGCAGUAGGGAAUCUUCGGCAAUGGACGAAAGUCUGACCGAGAAACGCCGCGUGAGUGAAGAAGGUUUUCGGAUCGUAAAACUCUGUUGGUAGAGAAGAACGUUGGUGAGAGUGGAAAGCUCAUCAAGUGACGGUAACUACCCAGAAAGGGACGGCUAACUACGUG